UUGAAAGGUAUGUCUUUAACCAUGACAUAUUAUAAACACAGUGAUCUGCAUCCAAAAACCAUUUAUAUCCCGAUUUGUGCAGAUAAUACUUACGUGUCCAGUCACUCAUGUACAUCACUAUCUGUCUCAAUUUGGCCAUUCAAGUGGACCUUUGUUCCAAUUUAAGUCUGGAGCUCCAGUUACUAGGUCUUAUUUCACCACCUCUUUAAAGUCGGCUCUCUCAUUCAUCGGUUUAGAUACUCGGUACUAUAAAGCACACAGUUUCAGGAUAGGGGCUGCGACUUCUGCUGCAGCUAGGGGAAUUCCCCACUCCGUGAUUCAAGGGAUGGGGAGAUGGAAAUCGAGUGCUUUUAUGAAAUAUAUAAGGAUGCAAAAUUUUUAAGUUAUUUAUUGCACAGUUUCGGGUCAGCAUUGCCUGCCAAAACAUUUGUCAUUUAAUUAUUUAAUAUCUGUUAUUAAUAACCAGUGUCUGUUUUAUUAAUCUUGUGAUUAAUCAUUGUCAUAAGAAAUGCUAAUUUCAAUUUUGAUUUUUACAGUUGUGUACAUUAUUAUAUGUUUUGUGAUUUGUUUUGAGAGCAUGUUAUGGAUGUCAGCAUUGCCUGGUCUGUAACUGCAAUCUGUAAUUUUUUUUUAAAAAAAAAAAAAUAUUAUUAUAUACAUAAUUGAUUUUUAUAACAUGAAUUUUAGACUGGAUUCACGUCGCCAGAGCCCUCGGGUGGGGGAUCCACUCUUAAUGUAAGAGUGUAUUUGUGGCAGAUUUUUCUCCCCACCUUUGCUAUUAUUUGUCAUUUAUUCAAUUGAUAUGAUUUUAGUUGAUGUAAUUUCGUAUUAAUUAUGUAUUAUAAUUGCAUAUUUAAUUAUGAACUUUUAUGUCAAAUGUUUUAUUUGCAAAUUGUAUUUUUUUUGCAUUUUAUGAUUUUGAAUAAAUGACCUUUUUUCGUCAAUCUUGUUUUUAUAGAUAUAGCAAAACAAGCUCAAACUCUGGCUG
RNAcentral lists this long non-coding RNA (988 nucleotides) under Mytilus galloprovincialis (Mediterranean mussel). Lineage: Eukaryota; Metazoa; Mollusca; Bivalvia; Mytilida; Mytilidae. The record is from RNAcentral.